GAGAGUUGAUCCUGGCUCAGGAUGAACGCUAGCUACAGGCUUAACACGAUGCAAGUCGAGGGGCGAGCGGGAAGUUAGCUUGCUAACUUGCCGGCGACCGGCGCACGGGUGAGUAACGCGUAUCCAACCUUCCCUACAGUAGGGUAUAGCCCGGCGAAAGUCGGAUUAAUGCCCUAUGUUCUUCUUUGAUGGCAUCUGAUGAGAAGCAAAGAUUUCAUCGCUAUAGGAUGGGGAUGCGUCUGAUUAGCUUGUUGGCGGGGUAACGGCCCACCAAGGCAACGAUCAGUAGGGGUUCUGAGAGGAAGGUCCCCCCACAUUGGUACUGAGACACGGACCAAACUCCUACGGGAGGCAGCAGUGAGGAAUAUUGGUCAAUGGGCGAGAGCCUGAACCAGCCAAGUAGCGUGCAGGACGACUGCCCUAUGGGUUGUAAACUGCUUUUAUAGGGGAAUAAAGUGAGGUACGUGUACCUUUUUGUAUGUACCCUAUGAAUAAGGACCGGCUAAUUCCGUGCCAGCAGCUGC
This 524-nucleotide ribosomal RNA is filed under the name uncultured bacterium. RNAcentral describes it as "bacterial SSU rRNA". It matches the Rfam family "Bacterial small subunit ribosomal RNA", at positions 7 to 518 of the family's 1533-position model. The record is from RNAcentral.